Molecule: small nucleolar RNA, 296 nt
Filed under: Eutypa lata UCREL1
Lineage: Eukaryota; Fungi; Ascomycota; Sordariomycetes; Xylariales; Diatrypaceae
Description: Fungal small nucleolar RNA U3
Rfam family: Fungal small nucleolar RNA U3
About the family: Small nucleolar RNAs (snoRNAs) are involved in the processing and modification of rRNA in the nucleolus. There are two main classes of snoRNAs: the box C/D class, and the box H/ACA class.
Source: Rfam by way of RNAcentral
CCAAACAGACUUCAGAGAAUCAUUUCUAUAGUAUUCGUCUACCUCUGUAUUCUCCAAAAGAGCUACAGAUCCCACCCUGGAAGAUGAUCCAAAUCCCCGCCGCCCUAGAGUGAAGUUUUCAACGGGGAGUCUGCCACUUGUGGCCUUCUCCCUUUACUCUCGAUCUGUCCGCAAGGAUGGCGGCCGACCCUCGCGGUAGGCUGUAUAGAGAGUGAUGAUGAUCUCAACCCCGAUUUCGCUGUGGUCUUGCCUUCGGGCGCACGGCCGGGGUGGGCGAUGUGGGAAGUCUGACAGGU